Non-coding RNA from Ictidomys tridecemlineatus (thirteen-lined ground squirrel), 836 nucleotides. NCBI's taxonomy places the organism in Eukaryota, Metazoa, Chordata, Mammalia, Rodentia, Sciuridae. The record is from RefSeq and is a predicted model, not a curated record.
UUGAAAGAAUGCCUCAGUCACAACAGACUGAGGUGAUGUAUGCUUCACACAUUCCACAUUUGGAACACUUCCGGGUAUGAGACACAGGACUUACAGCAAAAGUAGACUCAGUGAGUCUUGGUGUAGGGUGGGUAACACCACUCCUUAAUCUGCUGCUGGCUUUGUGGUUAAAAGAAGAAAGGCCUUCCCCUUCUCUCUGGCACUGGUUGAAAGUCUGAAGCAUUCCCAAUAUUGCUGGCACAGAGUUUGAGGACAAAGGCAGUCUCUAACCUGAGAUUCCACUCCUCACAGUGAAGAAGAAUAUUAAGCAGCCAACUGCCUCAAAUUACCCUUAAGAAUCUUAGGAAGUAAACAUUUAAUGGAUAUUCCAUUCUUAAAUCUUUAACAGAGCAGAACUGCUGUUCCUAUAAAUAUUAUUGUUCAGCUUAUAGGUGUCACAAGGAAAAUGUCAUAGCAAAGGAGCUCUGAAUUCCUACUGAAAAGUUCAACGUAAAGCCCAGAAAGAGAUCUCUUCAGUUAUCUUGGCCCGGUCCUUUGUAGCCAACCCAGCUUGAGACUCAUGUUAAGGAAGCCAUGUGUUAUGAGGAAAGAGAUGCAGAGGAUGAAUAUAAAGGAAUAUGAAGAGGCGAUACAAUAAUCUACAAUCAGUGCCAUGGGAGUAUAGAGGAGGGAAUAUUUAACAUUGAUGGGAGCUCCAGAAAGACUUCCUUUGAUAUGAGUAGAAUUCCUCAGGUACCUAUAGUGGAAUAGAUAACAUAGCAUGUACAAAUGGGAGGUGAGAAAAACUGAACUUUUCUAGGAAUAAGUAUUUCAGAGUGAAGGAUGAAGACUUUUGU